GGGUUGUCAACAAUAUCCAGCCUGUCGGGCAUACUGAUAUUGGUCAGUCUAAUUCCAUUUUAAGAAGCGCAACUACCUUCCUUUACCUUUCUCUUUCAAAAAAGGUCAUAGUAUUACUUUAUUUAUCUUCUGAUGUUGAUAAUUAGGAAAACUGCCAUCUGAGAUACACAAACUUUAGAAAGCAGCUGUAUUUCUUGAUAACAACACAUUCUGCAUUUUCUCACCAACAUAUUUACUACCCUCCAGUGUUUAUCAAUGGUCAGGAAAAUGCAGAGGAGGAGGAUAUGGAUAACAAUGAUGAUCUUGCUGGAGAUGCCAUUGAAAGUGAUGACAAGGAAGAACAGGUACCAGCAGAACGGCCUCCCAAAACAUCAAAAUUUAUAGCUUCAUCAUGCACUCAUCAAGUGUGCUUAAUAUCUGGAUGAAGAUUCAUAGUUGAAGGCUACAGACUUUGGCCUGUCAGAUUUUGUGAAACCAGAUGAAAAGUUUAUCAAAAUUGCUGGUAGUACAUACUGUGUAGCCCCCAAAGUGUUACAUAUGGCUUAUGGUACAGAGGCUGAUGUCUGGAGCGUAGGUGUGAUUGCACACAUUCUAUUGUGUGGCAGCUGUCCAUUUUGGCCUUGAACGAAGUUUGGCAUUUUUCGGGCAGUUCUAAAAGUUGAUCCAAGUUUCAAUGAACCUUGGCCACAUUCUCUACAGAGGCAAAAGUAAUUUGGUCAAGCGCCUAUUGAAUCAAGACCCACGGA
Rosa chinensis is the source of this 746-nucleotide long non-coding RNA. RefSeq lists it as uncharacterized. The transcript is spliced from 3 exons. The record is from RefSeq and is a predicted model, not a curated record. Lineage: Eukaryota; Viridiplantae; Streptophyta; Magnoliopsida; Rosales; Rosaceae.